GAUGAACGCUAGCUACAGGCUUAACACAUGCAAGUCGAGGGGAAACGGCAUUGAGUGCUUGCACUCUUUGGACGUCGACCGGCGCACGGGUGAGUAACGCGUAUCCAACCUUCCCAUGACUAAGGGAUAACCUGCCGAAAGGCAGACUAAUACCUUAUGGUCUUCACUGACGGCAUCAGAUGUGAAGUAAAGAUUUAUCGGUUAUGGAUGGGGAUGCGUCUGAUUAGCUUGUUGGCGGGGUAACGGCCCACCAAGGCAACGAUCAGUAGGGGUUCUGAGAGGAAGGUCCCCCACAUUGGAACUGAGACACGGUCCAAACUCCUACGGGAGGCAGCAGUGAGGAAUAUUGGUCAAUGGGCGAGAGCCUGAACCAGCCAAGUAGCGUGCAGGAUGACGGCCCUAUGGGUUGUAAACUGCUUUUGUAUGGGGAUAAAGUCAGUCACGUGUGAUUGUUUGCAGGUACCAUACGAAUAAGGACCGGCUAAUUCCGUGCCAGCAGCCGCGGUAAUACGGAAGGUCCGGGCGUUAUCCGGAUUUAUUGGGUUUAAAGGGAGCGUAGGCUGGAGAUUAAGUGUGUUGUGAAAUGUAGACGCUCAACGUCUGACUUGCAGCGCAUACUGGUUUCCUUGAGUACGCACAACGUUGGCGGAAUUCGUCGUGUAGCGGUGAAAUGCUUAGAUAUGACGAAGAACUCCGAUUGCGAAGGCAGCUGACGGGAGCGCAACUGACGCUGAAGCUCGAAGGUGCAGGUAUCGAACAGG
This 761-nucleotide ribosomal RNA is filed under the name Prevotella melaninogenica. RNAcentral describes it as "bacterial SSU rRNA". It matches the Rfam family "Bacterial small subunit ribosomal RNA", at positions 28 to 776 of the family's 1533-position model. The record is from RNAcentral. Lineage: Bacteria; Pseudomonadati; Bacteroidota; Bacteroidia; Bacteroidales; Prevotellaceae.